This 26-nucleotide unclassified non-coding RNA is filed under the name Mus musculus (house mouse). RNAcentral describes it as "piRNA piR-mmu-68266793". The record is from RNAcentral. Lineage: Eukaryota; Metazoa; Chordata; Mammalia; Rodentia; Muridae.
UUAAGUUUCACUGUCUCUGGUUUUAU